UUCAACCUUGAUGCUAAUCUCUCAAAGCCAAUAUCUUUUUAUUUCACUAUUUGACUGAUUUCAAACUUUUCAUAUACAUAGAAAAACAAACCUAUUAUCCUUAUCCAUAAAUUUCACUCCAAUCGAACUAGUAAAUUGCAUGAAAUCUUAAAAAUCCUCACUGGACCUAACAUUCUACUUUCUAAGACCUUGAUCCACUAAAACCUCAAUAACCUUCAAUUCAACCAUUAAAACAUGCUAAAAUUUACAACACAUAUUAAGCACAAUUAUAACCAUCAACCUAAAAAAUUUCGCUUGUAGAUCUAUUACAAAACUCUUGAAAUUUUCUAAAACGUCAAUCCUAUUUUAUUUCACAAAAUUCAAGUCAUCCAAAAACAAACUUGAUUUGUGAAGCUUUCACAAAGUCAUUACAUAUCCAAAGCACCUAAAACCAAUGCUAAUAAAAAUUUAAUUAAGUCUGCCAUCAA
This 467-nucleotide long non-coding RNA is filed under the name Physcomitrium patens. Its description in RNAcentral is "long non-coding RNA (PPAT_LNC009080)". The record is from RNAcentral. Lineage: Eukaryota; Viridiplantae; Streptophyta; Bryopsida; Funariales; Funariaceae.